Molecule: non-coding RNA, 237 nt
Organism: Pelobates cultripes (western spadefoot toad)
Lineage: Eukaryota; Metazoa; Chordata; Amphibia; Anura; Pelobatidae
Source: the annotation of a GenBank genome assembly
CUGUAGUCACCAGAACAACUACAGCUUAUUUAAUUUGUUCUGGUGAGUAGAAUCAUCACCUUCAGGCUUUUUGCUGUAAACACUGUCUUUUCAGAAAAAAAAUACAGUGUUUACAUUACAGCCUAGUGAUAACUUCACUGGCCACUCCUCAGAUGGCUGUUAGAGUUCCUGGGUCAUGGUUGCCUAAAAUGCAUCAAAACAUUCAGUAUCUCCUCCCUCUGCAUGCAGACACUGAAC